This 455-nucleotide ribosomal RNA is filed under the name Dendropsophus cf. goughi. RNAcentral describes it as "partial 16S ribosomal RNA". It matches the Rfam family "Bacterial large subunit ribosomal RNA", at positions 1829 to 2484 of the family's 2925-position model. Lineage: Eukaryota; Metazoa; Chordata; Amphibia; Anura; Hylidae. The record is from RNAcentral.
CGCCUCUUGGAACUAUAUAAGAGGUCCAGCCUGCCCAGUGACUAAGUUCAACGGCCGCGGUAUCCUAACCGUGCGAAGGUAGCGUAAUCACUUGUUCUUUAAAUGAGGACUAGUAUGAAUGGCACCACGAGGGUUAUACUGUCUCCUUUCUCUAAUCAAUGAAACUGAUCUCCCCGUGAAGAAGCGGGGAUAAAUAUAUAAGACGAGAAGACCCUAUGGAGCUUUAAACUAUGUAACACUGGCUUAUGCUCUUUUAUAUUUCAGAAUUAUCACAAUUAUACUAGCUGGUAUGAUUACUAGUUUUAGGUUGGGGUGACCGCGGAGCAAAAAUUAACCUCCACGAUGAACGGAAUCCUUUCUGAGCUAAAAGCUACGACUUUAAGCACUAACAAAUUAACAUUAAUUGACCCAAAAUAUUGAUCAACGAACCAAGUUACCCUAGGGAUAACAGCGCA